RNAcentral lists this ribosomal RNA (317 nucleotides) under uncultured Pseudomonadota bacterium. RNAcentral's name for it is "bacterial SSU rRNA". It matches the Rfam family "Bacterial small subunit ribosomal RNA", at positions 146 to 496 of the family's 1533-position model. Lineage: Bacteria; Pseudomonadati; Pseudomonadota. The record is from RNAcentral.
ACACGAGGAAACUUGUGCUAAUACCGGAUAAGUCUUUACGGAGAAAGCUUUAUGCACCAUUGGAUGAGCCUGCACUUGAUUAGUUUGUUGGUGGGGUAAUGGCCUACCAAGACUGUGAUCAAUAGCUGAUUUGAGAGGAUGAUCAGCCACAUUGGGACUGAGACACGGCCCAAACUCCUACGGGAGGCAGCAGUGGGGAAUCUUGCACAAUGGAGGAAACUCUGAUGCAGCGAUGCCGCGUGAGUGAAGAAGGCCUUUGGGUUGUAAAGCUCUUUCGUCGGGGAAGAAAAUGACUGUACCCGAAUAAGAAGGUCCGG